UCGAGAAUCAUUCACAAUGGGGGAAACCCUGAUGGUGCAACGCCGCGUGGAGGAUGACGGCCUUCGGGUUGUAAACUCCUGUCAUCUGGGAGUAAGCCUUGUCCGUUAAUAGCGUGCAAGGUUGAUAGUACCAGAAGAGGAAGGGACGGCUAACUUCGUGCCAGCAGCCGCGGUAAUACGAAGGUCCCAAGCGUUGUUCGGAAUCACUGGGCGUAAAGCGUGCGCAGGCGGCGCGGAAAGUCAGAUGUGAAAUCUCUGGGCUCAACCCGGAAACUGCAUCCGAUACUCCCGCGCUAGAGUAAUGGAGAGGUAGCUGGAAUUCUCGGUGUAGCAGUGAAAUGCGUAGAUAUCGAGAGGAACACUCGUGGCGAAGGCGAGCUACUGGACAUUUACUGACGCUCAGGCACGAAGGCCAGGGGAGCGAAAGGGAUUAGAUACCCCUGUAGUCCUGGCAGUAAACGGUGCGCGCUUGGUGUGGGAGGUACG
Molecule: ribosomal RNA, 486 nt
Filed under: uncultured Verrucomicrobiota bacterium
Lineage: Bacteria; Pseudomonadati; Verrucomicrobiota
Description: bacterial SSU rRNA
Rfam family: Bacterial small subunit ribosomal RNA
Source: RNAcentral